This 72-nucleotide transfer RNA is filed under the name Actinia tenebrosa (Australian red waratah sea anemone). RNAcentral's name for it is "tRNA-Gln". It matches the Rfam family "tRNA". From Rfam's summary of the family: Transfer RNA (tRNA) molecules are approximately 80 nucleotides in length. Their secondary structure includes four short double-helical elements and three loops (D, anti-codon, and T loops). Further hydrogen bonds mediate the characteristic L-shaped molecular structure. tRNAs have two regions of fundamental functional importance: the anti-codon, which is responsible for specific mRNA codon recognition, and the 3' end, to which the tRNAs corresponding amino acid is attached (by aminoacyl-tRNA synthetases). tRNAs cope with the degeneracy of the genetic code in two manners: having more than one tRNA (with a specific anti-codon) for a particular amino acid; and 'wobble' base-pairing, i.e. permitting non-standard base-pairing at the 3rd anti-codon position. The record is from Rfam by way of RNAcentral. Lineage: Eukaryota; Metazoa; Cnidaria; Anthozoa; Actiniaria; Actiniidae. RNAcentral also lists the same sequence under 2 other names.
GGUCCUAUGGUGUAACGGUUAGCACUUUGGACUCUGAAUCCAACAAUCCGAGUUCGAAUCUCGGUAGGACCU